This 1374-nucleotide long non-coding RNA is filed under the name Triticum aestivum (bread wheat). RNAcentral describes it as "long non-coding RNA (TAES_LNC023232)". Lineage: Eukaryota; Viridiplantae; Streptophyta; Magnoliopsida; Poales; Poaceae. The record is from RNAcentral.
UAUCUUCAAUCGCACAAGAAGCUAAACCUUCAAUUAGAAAUUUUGAAAUGCAAAUCAGUGCAUAAUAUAGCAGCUAAAAGUAGUUAAUAACAAAUGCAAAAUAUGAAAGCUUACGUUGUAGGACGAGGCAAAAGGCCUUUGCGUGUGCGGUAACUUAUGUCUUGUUUCUUUUACUCAUCUUGCGUUCCUGUAAAUUUUUAGAGAAACAAAAAUUUCUCAGUGCCAAAUUUGGUUUCUACAUCUAACAAACAUUGGUAUCAAGCAACAACAUUUUAGUUUCUAACUGCUAAACUCAGAUUGCUAUGCUUACAAGAUUAGACUAAUCUGGACUAGCCUGCUACAUGACAGAUACUACUACAUUCCUAGUUCCUAAAAGCAAAAGAAAUCAAAUAAUGUAUCAUAUGGGCGUAUAUGGCCACCACAACAAGGAAAGGUGAAGGAGCUGAAAGCUUGAUCCUCAUGUCAGCCCCCUGAUUUCCACAUGAAAUAUAUUAGUUACAAAGAACCCAGCUAUCCAGAAUUAAUCUACUGGGACAAAGACAUACAACCGAGUAGUAAAAUAACACAACCUCCCACGGCGUAUGUUUUGAUAGAUACCAAACUACAUUGUUCAUGGCAGGUUAGCUUCAUAACAGCAGUUCAGUCCAAUUCAGAAAUAUAACGAUCAGAAAGUUGAACUGUAAUAAUCAUCUGAACAUACACACAGGCAUAGCUACGAAUCAGGAGAAUGCAACUUCAGAGCAUUGUUUCAUGGUGGUAAGAAAAAUACUAGAAUAUACAAAGAGGAAAAAGAAAAGAUAUCAAACUUUUUGUUGGCAAAGCAUCUCUAUGGCAUUCCCAACUUUUACCAGCAGAAAGAACCUAAAAGAAGUCCAGAAAAAUGUUGUAUAGGUGCAGCUUCACAUAAGCAAUUGCCAUUGCAACCUAUAACUUUUUCUGGAUUCACCAAUAAUGAAGAACUACAUAUCGGACAGUGUAACAUCAGCAGGCAGGUAGCGAAUCCUGACUAAAUCAUCUUAUCCUGCUAUCAUCAUUUAACUCGGUCAGUAGUACUACAAAUCUACAAAGGGAGAUAAGCUGAAGAAAUACCUGCAGUUUUUGGCUGUGCGGGGACGGAGAAUGUCGGGGAGCCGCGAGGGACUGUGGGUGCCGCCGUGCCAGAGGAAGGGGACCAGAAGAGGAAGUGACCUGGUCGCGCUCGGACGGCGGAGGAGUGGCGAUGCAGCGACGGAGAGCCGGUGGUGAGCGCGCCGCCGCUGUGGUGCUCGGCUUCUCGUUUCUCGCUAUGCAAGCGGUAGGGUUGGGUAGGCACGACGGCAGGCGGCGGCGGCGGGCAGGGACCUAGGGUUCGUCCAAGUCGGGGGAAGGGGCAGC